GAUGAACGCUGGCGGCGUGCUUGAUACAUGCAAGUCGAACGGAGAGUGUAGCAAUAUACUCUUAGUGGCGAACGGGUGAGUAACGCGUUGGUGACCUGCCCCGAAGCGAGGGAUAACAGUUCGAAAGAACUGCUAAUACCUCAUGUGAUCACCGGUUUUAGAAUCUGGUGAUUAAAGGUGAAAAUCACUUCGGGAGGGGCCUGCGUCCCAUCAGCUAGUUGGUAGGGUAAUGGCUUACCAAGGCGAUGACGGGUAGGGGACCUGAGAGGGUGGCCCCCCACAAUGGAACUGAAACACGGUCCAUACACCUACGGGUGGCAGCAGUAGGGAAUAUUAGAAAUGGACGAAAGUCUGAUCUAGCAACACCGCGUGUGCGAAGAAGGCCUUCGGGUCGUAAGCACUUUUGGAGGAAUAGGAAGGAAUGUACUUCCAGAAUAAGUACUCGGCUAACUACGUG
Molecule: ribosomal RNA, 457 nt
Filed under: uncultured bacterium
Lineage: Bacteria
Description: bacterial SSU rRNA
Rfam family: Bacterial small subunit ribosomal RNA
Source: RNAcentral